GGUGAGUAACACGUGGAUAACCUACCUAUAAGACUGGGAUAACUUCGGGAAACUGGAGCUAAUACCGGAUAAUAUAUUGAACCGCAUGGUUCAAUAGUGAAAGACGGUUUUGCUGUCACUUAUAGAUGGAUCCGCGCCGCAUUAGCUAGUUGGUAAGGUAACGGCUUACCAAGGCAACGAUGCGUAGCCGACCUGAGAGGGUGAUCGGCCACACUGGAACUGAGACACGGUCCAG
Molecule: ribosomal RNA, 235 nt
Filed under: uncultured Staphylococcus sp.
Lineage: Bacteria; Bacillati; Bacillota; Bacilli; Caryophanales; Staphylococcaceae
Description: partial 16S ribosomal RNA
Rfam family: Bacterial small subunit ribosomal RNA
Source: RNAcentral